GACAGAGGUGCCAAGCGUUAGGCGGAAUCACUGGGCUUAAAGCGUGUGUAGGCGGAAGCGUAAGUGCCUUGUGAAAUCCCCCGGCUCAACCGGGGAACUGCUGGGCAUACUGCGUUUCUUGGGCUAAUCAGGGGUCGUCGGAACAAACGGUGGAGCGGUGAAAUGCGUAGAUAUCGUUUGGAACGCCGAAGGCGAAAGCAGACGACUGGGAUUACGCCGACGCUGAGACACGAAAGCCAGGGGAGCAAACGGG
RNAcentral lists this ribosomal RNA (253 nucleotides) under uncultured bacterium. RNAcentral describes it as "partial 16S ribosomal RNA". It matches the Rfam family "Bacterial small subunit ribosomal RNA", at positions 524 to 776 of the family's 1533-position model. The record is from RNAcentral.